RNAcentral lists this ribosomal RNA (460 nucleotides) under uncultured bacterium. RNAcentral's name for it is "partial 16S ribosomal RNA". It matches the Rfam family "Bacterial small subunit ribosomal RNA", at positions 338 to 795 of the family's 1533-position model. The record is from RNAcentral.
CCUACGGGAGGCAGCAGUGAGGAAUAUUGGUCAAUGGACGAGAGUCUGAACCAGCCAAGUAGCGUGAAGGAUGACUGCCCUAGGGAUUGUAAACUUCUUUUAUAUGGGAAUAAAAUGUUCCACGUGUGGGAUUUUGUAUGUACCAUAUGAAUAAGGAUCGGCUAACUCCGUGCCAGCAGCCGCGGUAAUACGGAGGAUCCGAGCGUUAUCCGGAUUUAUUGGGUUUAAAGGGAGCGUAGGGGGAUUGUUAAGUCAGUUGUGAAAGUUUGGGGCUCAACCGUAAAAUUGCAGUUGAAACUGGCAGUCUUGAGUACAGUAGAGGUGGGCGGAAUUCGUGGUGUAGCGGUGAAAUGCUUAGAUAUCACGAAGAACUCCGAUUGCGAAGGCAGUUCACUGGACUGCAACUGACACUGAGGCUCGAAAGUGUGGGUAUCAAACAGGAUUAGAUACCCGAGUAGUC